UCAAGUUAAAAAGAGCAUAAGGCGGAUGCCUUGGCACUAGGAGCCGAUGAAGGACGUGACAAGCUGCGAUAAGCUGCGGUAAGGAGCAAAUAUCCGUUAUGAACCGCAGAUUUCCGAAUGGGGGAACCCACCUGUAGUAAUGUGCAGGUACAGCUGUGUGAAUAAAAUAGCGCAGUAUGAGGAAACGGGGUGAACUGAAACAUCUAAGUAGCCCCAGGAGAAGAAAGAAACAUCGAUUUCCCAAGUAGCGGCGAGCGAACGGGAAGGAGGCCAAACCGAUAACUUGUUAUCGGGGUUGCGGAUCAUCAGAAAUGAUUCUAAAAGGAUAGUCGAACGGUUUUGGAACAGCCGAGCGAAGAGGGUGAAACUCCCGUAGACGAAAUCCGGAUAGACAUAGAUGACACCAGAGUAGUACCGGACACGUGAAACCCGGUAUGAAGCCGGAGGGCCCACCCUCCAAGCCUAAAUACUACCUAGUGACCGAUAGAGAACAGUACCGUGAGGGAAAGGUGAAAAGGACCCCGGGAGGGGAGUGAAAUAGAACCUGAAACCUUAUGCUUACAAGCAAUGGGAGCGCAAGUGACCAUGUACUUUUUGUAGAACGGGCCAACGAGUUAUGGUAUGUAGCGAGGUUAAGAUGCUGGAGCAUCGGAGCCGAAGCGAAAGCGAGUCUUAAUAGGGCGAUUAGUUAUAUGCUGUAGACCCGAAACCGGGUGACCUAUCCAUGUGCAGGUUGAAGCGAGAGUAAAAUCUCGUGGAGGACCGAACCCAUAUACGUUGAAAAGUGUUGGGAUGACGUGUGGAUAGCGGUGAAAUUCCAAUCGAACUCGGAUAUAGCUGGUUCUCCUCGAAAUAGCUUUAGGGCUAGCCUCAUAGUAAGAUACGCAGGGGUAGAGCACUGAAUGUUCUAGGGGCCUUCACCGGUUACCGAAAACUAUCAAACUCCGAAUACUGCGCAAUCAUCUAUGGGAGUCAGACUAUGAGAGAUAAGUUCCAUGGUCGAAAGGGAAACAGCCCAGACCUACAGCUAAGGUCCCAAAAUGUAAGUUAAGUGGAAAAGGAUGUGGAGCUGCAUAAACAGCUAGGAUGUUGGCUUAGAAGCAGCCAUUCAUUUAAAGAGUGCGUAACAGCUCACUAGUCGAGUGGCUCUGCGCCGAAGAUAAACGGGGCUAAAACUUACUACCGAAGCUUAGGAUACCUUUUGGUAUGGUAGAGGAGCAUCGUAUAAGAGACGAAGGUGAACUGUAAGGUAAGCUGGAUUUUAUACGAGAGAGAAUGUUGGCAUGAGUAGCGAGAGGCAGGUGAGAAUCCUGCCCACCGAAAAUCUAAGGUUUCCUGAGGAAGGUUCGUCCACUCAGGGUUAGUCGGGACCUAAGCCGAGGACGAGAGUCGUAGGCGAUGGACAACUGGUUGAGAUUCCAGUACCACCGAAAGUCGUUUGAGUGAAGUGGGGACACAGAAGGAUAGACAGAGCACGCCGUUGGUAGAGCGUGUCCAAGCAGUGAGGCUUGUGCGUAGGCAAAUCCGCGCACUAAAAGGCUAGGCUGUGAUGGGGAGGGAAAAAAGUACCGGAAGCUGUUGAUUUCACACUGUCAAGAAAAGCCGCUAGCGAGACCGUAGGUGCCCGUACCGCAAACCGACACAGGUAGAUGAGGAGAGAAUCCUAAGGUGAGCGAGAGAACUAUUGUUAAGGAACUCGGCAAAAUUACCCCGUAACUUCGGGAGAAGGGGUGCCAUCGAAAGAUGGCCGCAGUGAAAAGGCCCAGGCGACUGUUUAGCAAAAACACAGGUCUCUGCUAAAGCGAAAGCUGAAGUAUAGGGGCUGACGCCUGCCCGGUGCUGGAAGGUUAAGGGGACUGCUUAGAGCAAUCGAAGGCAUGAACUUAAGCCCCAGUAAACGGCGGCCGUAACUAUAACGGUCCUAAGGUAGCGAAAUUCCUUGUCAGGUAAGUUCUGACCCGCACGAAAGGCGUAACGAUCUGGGCGCUGUCUCAACAAUCGACUCGGUGAAAUUGUAGUACCGGUAAAGAUGCCGGUUACCCGCAGCAGGACGGAAAGACCCCGUGGAGCUUUACUGCAGCUUGAUAUUGGAUUUCGGCAUUGCAUGUACAGGAUAGGUGGGAGACUGCGAACUCAGUACGCCAGUAUUGAGGGAGUCACCGUUGGGAUACCACCCUUGUAAUGUUGAGGUUCUAACUUUGUACCGUGACCCGGUAUGAGGACAGUGUCUGG
This 2232-nucleotide ribosomal RNA is filed under the name human gut metagenome. RNAcentral's name for it is "bacterial LSU rRNA". It matches the Rfam family "Bacterial large subunit ribosomal RNA", at positions 3 to 2261 of the family's 2925-position model. The record is from RNAcentral.